RNAcentral lists this long non-coding RNA (2151 nucleotides) under Nicotiana benthamiana. RNAcentral describes it as "long non-coding RNA (NBEN_LNC006535)". Lineage: Eukaryota; Viridiplantae; Streptophyta; Magnoliopsida; Solanales; Solanaceae. The record is from RNAcentral.
ACCACUUCAACUUCAUCAUCCAACGAUGACCCAGCAUCAGCUUUGACAUAAGGAACAAUGAGAGCAAGAAAAACGAAGAAAAUAAACAAGACCCUCCGAGAAGAUGCCAUGUUGGAAUCCAAAGCCUGAGAAAAACUAAGGCUCUGGUGAUCUAAUAAAAGGGUUUUUCUACUGCCCCAGCUAGAUAUGUUUUGUUUGGUAUUAAGGUCUGCGUACAUACUACCCUCCCCGCGUACAUACUACCCUCCCCGGACCCCACUAAGUGGGAUUAUACUGGGUUGUUGUUGUUGUUGUAUGAAAAAGGCUUUAGACAAGAGGAGUUGCUCUGAUGGUAAGCAACCCCCACUUCCAACCGAGAGGUUGUUAGUUCGAGUCUCCCAAGAGCAAGAGCAAGGUGGGAAGUUCUUGGAGGGAAGAAUGCCGGGGGUCUAUUUGGAAACAGUCUCUCAACCCCCACUUCCAACCGAGAGGUUGUGAGUUCGAGUCUCCCCAAGAGCAAAGGUGGGAAGUUCUUGGAUGGAAGGAUGCCGGGGGUCUAUUUGGAAACAGUCUCUCUACCCCAGGGCAGGGUAAGGUCUGCGUACAUACUACGCUCCCCAGAAACCACUAAGUGGGAUUAUAUUGGGUUGUUGUUGUUGUUGGACUUCAAUUUGAAAUAUUGAAGCCAAUUUCACAAGUAGAGAAUUUCAACUUCAUAUUAUUUCACACUGCGUGGAUUGAAUGUGUAUCUUGACCUUAAAUAAGUUUUCUCAACAUCAACUCACAAAUCUUCAACUUUCACAAACUUUUCCCCCCAAAAAAACUACAACUAUCAAUAUACAACUUCAACUUCCACAAACUUCUUUUCAACUUCAGUUCAAAUAAUUACUCCACUUCCAUGAACUUCUAUUCAACUUCAGUUCAAAUAAUUACUUUUUCAACUUCACUCAGACUUUUACCAAACGCAUACUAAAGUACUUACAAGUAGCACCCUGCAUAAGAAGAAGGCAACAAACGGAAAUGUCCAACUUAAGUUCAUUUAAAAUAUAUCGAUGUUCAUAGACUCUCAGUCACGCUCUAUUUAAAAUGUUCGUCACUUUAAGAUGGGUGUAUGUGUGUUGAGGGGGAGGGGGGCAUAAAUCACAGAGCCACGGGAAAUGAAGCCAAAACAUGCAUAGUUCAACCCACUGAUACAUAGCCUCAAAGAAACACCAAAAAAAACAGAAGCUAAAAAAACUGAUAAACCUCAAGCAGUAAGCAAUAGACAAUCCUCAUUUUAUCCUCGCAUGUUACAUCGGCUGAUUUUUACAUUCAUGUUCCUCUAUCCUCCAAAAUAAAGAAAGACAAUGAAAAAGAAAGAACAUAGUAAUAGCUUACAGCAUUAGUUUCUAUUUGACAUACUCAUUACUACACCCUAUUUGAACAAUACAGAUAACUUAUCACAAGUCAACAGAAUAAUCUAUCACAACACUCACCUAAAAUCUCUUCCUUUUUAGAAGUCAAGCUCAUCAAUGUAAGAAAUCCAAAAAGUUAAGAGCUUCAAAAAACUCAGAACUAUUAGCUCAUCAAAUUAACCUCAUAAUAAAUCUACCCCUCUACAUCUAAUCUUCUAGCCAAGUAAACAAGACCACAAUCCAGAGACUACACUCUCCAAAACAUCAACUUAGCCAUUUCUACUACCGCUGUUGAACAUUAUAAGCAAUACAACAAAACACUGUUCAUUGUUUCAUCCUGUAAUAAUGUUCUACUCAUAAAACCUUUUUUUCUUCACAAUUCCAGCUCAUUAAUAACAAAUUUUAAAUACGAUAACACCUUUAAGACCAGAACAUGAAAACUCACAAAACCAAUUAUAAAUUUUCCAAGAAAAAGGGGGGAAAGUCAGAACUAACCUAAAGAUCGGAUCUUGGACUUAAGAAGGUCCAAUUCUUGAGAAGUGGGUUCAACAUCCGAUCUAACCACUUCAACUUCAUCAUCCAACGAUGACCCAGCAUCAGCUUUGACAUAAGGAACAAUGAGAGCAAGAAAAACGAAGAAAAUAAACAAGACCCUCCGAGAAGAUGCCAUGUUGGAAUCCAAAGCCUGAGAAAAACUAAGGCUCUGGUGAUCUAAUAAAAGGGUUUUUCUACUGCCCCAGCUAGAUAUGUUUUGUGGGUAUGUUUUUCCUGUUUUCGG